CAGGAAGAUCCUUAGAACUGAUGAGGACCAAGCUAUAGAGGGUGAUACGGUGUUAUAUCUGAAUGGAUUCAGAUAGAAUGAUCAGAUAUCAAGGCCGUAGAAUGAGCUUAUUGUUUCUGGGCUGGAAAUCUGUAUUGCAUGUAUCAAAUCCUGUCAUUUAUUAAUUUUCCUAUGUUCCUUGUUAUAUUCUUGGUGUUGUUCAACACUAAGCAUUCCUCUGGUAUAACCAACUCUUGCCUGUAUUUAACAUCACACAAGGACUCGUCAUAAGCGCUGCUUGCAUACGAGUAUAAUGGAAGAAUAAUAAUAAUAAUAUAGGGGUCAGGUUACAUCAGGAUGAUUUGCUGGCCUUCAGAAGGUUGGGCCAGCUGCUUACAGAGAGGAGAUUUCACAGAACUGUGUCCUCUCUCUGUAUAUGAAUUGCCAGACCCUAUUUCCGAUGAUGAUUAUUAGUCUUUAGAUGCUCCAACGCAGAUUCCUAGUUAUGUGAUCAGGAGAUUCUUUACAUCAACCACUCAGAUAAGUCUUCCGGAUACACCCAUGCAGUCAGUACCCAAGGGUCUGCUCAGAGUCAGCUUUAGCUCUUAGGUCUAUCAAAACAAUGCAAUGUGAUGCAAUUGCUUUCUUGCUCUCCCCUUUUGUAACUGAUAUCAGCGCAAUGAAACGACGCAAGAAAUGCAAGAUGCACAGGAACAAUUCA
This 700-nucleotide small RNA is filed under the name Histoplasma ohiense. RNAcentral describes it as "hypothetical lncRNA". The record is from RNAcentral. Lineage: Eukaryota; Fungi; Ascomycota; Eurotiomycetes; Onygenales; Ajellomycetaceae.